RNAcentral lists this ribosomal RNA (492 nucleotides) under uncultured bacterium. RNAcentral's name for it is "partial 16S ribosomal RNA". It matches the Rfam family "Bacterial small subunit ribosomal RNA", at positions 29 to 507 of the family's 1533-position model. The record is from RNAcentral.
AGUGAACGCUGGCGGUAGGCCUAACACAUGCAAGUCGAACGGCAGCACAGUAAGAGCUUCCUCUUACGGGUGGCGAGUGGCGGACGGGUGAGGAAUACAUCGGAAUCUACUUUUUCGUGGGGGAUAACGUAGGGAAACUUACGCUAAUACCGCAUACGACCUACGGGUGACAGCGGGGGAUCUUCGGACCUUGCGCGAUUGAAUGAGCCGAUGUCGGAUUAGCUAGUUGGCGGGGUAAAGGCCCACCAAGGCGACGAUCCGUAGCUGGUCUGAGAGGAUGAUCAGCCACACUGGAACUGAGACACGGUCCAGACUCCUACGGGAGGCAGCAGUGGGGAAUAUUGGACAAUGGGCGCAAGCCUGAUCCAGCCAUACCGCGUGGGUGAAGAAGGCCUUCGGGUUGUAAAGCCCUUUUGUUGGGAAAGAAAAGCAGCAGGUUAAUACCCCGCUGUUCUGACGGUACCCAAAGAAUAAGCACCGGCUAACUUCGUG